AGCAGCCGCGGUAAUUCCAGCUCCAAUAGCGUAUAUUAAAGUUGUUGCAGUUAAAAGCUCAUAGUUGAAUUUCGGGAUUAGUAAGUUGGUCAUGCCUUUGGUAUGUACUGGUUUCACUGAUUCCUCCCUCUUGAUGAACUGUUAUGUCAUUAAUUUGGUGUUUCAGGGAAUCAGGACUGUUACUUUGAAAAAAUUGAGUGUUUAAAGCAGGCUAACGCUUGAAUACAUCAGCAUGGAAUAAUGAAAUAGGACGUUCGAUCCUAUUUUGUUGGUUUCUAGGAUUGACGUAAUGAUUAAUAGGGAUAGUUGGGGGCAUUAGUAUUCAAUUGUCAGAGGUGAAAUUCUUGGAUUUAUUGAAGACUAACUACUGCGAAAGCAUUUGCCAAGGAUGUUUUCAUUAAUCAAGAACGAAAGUUAGGGAUCGAAGACGAUCAGAUACCGUCGUAGUCUUAACCAUAAACUAUGCCGACUAGGGAUCGGAUGAUGUUAUUUUUAUGUA
Molecule: ribosomal RNA, 499 nt
Filed under: uncultured Glomus
Lineage: Eukaryota; Fungi; Glomeromycota; Glomeromycetes; Glomerales; Glomeraceae
Description: SSU rRNA
Rfam family: Eukaryotic small subunit ribosomal RNA
Source: RNAcentral